AACAUCGCGCACCUGCGGGAACCUGCGGAAGGAUCAUUAUCGAGUUUACAACUCCCAAACCCCUGUGAACAUACCAAUCGUUGCCUCGGCGGGACCGCCCCCGGCGCCCCCGGGCCCGGACCCAGGCGCCCGCCGGAGGACCCCCAAACUCACUUGAUUCCACGGUGUAUCUUCUGAGUGACACAAGCAAAUAAAAUCAAAACUUUUAACAACGGAUCU
RNAcentral lists this unclassified non-coding RNA (219 nucleotides) under soil metagenome. RNAcentral's name for it is "partial contains 5.8S ribosomal RNA, internal transcribed spacer 2, and large subunit ribosomal RNA". The record is from RNAcentral.